RNAcentral lists this ribosomal RNA (115 nucleotides) under Polynucleobacter acidiphobus. RNAcentral describes it as "partial 23S ribosomal RNA". It matches the Rfam family "Bacterial large subunit ribosomal RNA", at positions 1 to 114 of the family's 2925-position model. The record is from RNAcentral. Lineage: Bacteria; Pseudomonadati; Pseudomonadota; Betaproteobacteria; Burkholderiales; Burkholderiaceae.
GAUCAAGUGAAUAAGUGCAUGUGAUGGAUGCCUUGGCGAUUACAGGCGAUGAAGGACGUUGUAGCCUGCGAUAAGCUUCGGGGAGCUGGCAAACAAGCUUUGAUCGAGAAAUUUC